Molecule: ribosomal RNA, 497 nt
Filed under: uncultured bacterium
Lineage: Bacteria
Description: partial 16S ribosomal RNA
Rfam family: Bacterial small subunit ribosomal RNA
Source: RNAcentral
GACGAACGCUGGCGGCGUGCCUAAUACAUGCAAGUAGAACGCUGAAGCGAGGAGCUUACUCUUCUUGGAUGAGUUGCGAACGGGUGAGUAACGCGUAGGUAACCUGCCUUGUAGCGGGGGAUAACUAUUGGAAACGAUAGCUAAUACCGCAUAACAAUGGAUGACACAUGUCAUUUAUUUGAAAGGGGCAAUUGCUCCACUACAAGAUGGACCUGCGUUGUAUUAGCUAGUAGGUGAGGUAAUGGCUCACCUAGGCGACGAUACAUAGCCGACCUGAGAGGGUGAACGGCCACACUGGGACUUGGAAACGGGCCAGAAUCCUUCGGGGGGCAGCAGGAGGGGAACUUUGGAAAUGGGGGGAACGCUGAACGAGCAACGCCGGGUGAGUGAAGAAGGGUCUCGGGUCGGUAAGCUCUGUUUUAAGUGAAGAACGAGCGGGAGAGUGGAAAGUUCACACUGUGACGGUAGCUAACCAGAAAGCGACGGCUAACUACGUG